GUGACGAAGCGACGCCGCGUGAGCGAAGAAGGCCUUAGGGUUGUAAAGCUCUGUCGAGGGUUAUGAAAUAUAAAUGGGAUAAUACCUCAUUUAUUUGACAAAAGCCCAAGAGGAAGUCACGGCUAACUCUGUGCCAGCAGCCGCGGUAAUACAGAGGCGGCAAGCGUUGUUCGGAAUUAUUGGGCGUAAAGAGCACGUAGGCGGCCUUGCAAGUCAGUUGUGAAAGCCUUCCGCUUAACGGAAGAACGGCAUCUGAUACUACAGGGCUUGAGUACGGGAGGGGAGAGUGGAACUUCUGGUGGAGCGGUGAAAUGCGUAGAUAUCAGAAGGAACGCCGGCGGCGAAAGCGACUCUCUGGUCCGAAACUGACGCUGAGUGUGCGAAAGCUAGGGGAGCAAACGGGAUUAGAUACCCCGGUAGUCCUAGCCGUAAACGAU
RNAcentral lists this ribosomal RNA (437 nucleotides) under uncultured anaerobic ammonium-oxidizing bacterium. RNAcentral describes it as "bacterial SSU rRNA". It matches the Rfam family "Bacterial small subunit ribosomal RNA", at positions 383 to 810 of the family's 1533-position model. The record is from RNAcentral.